Molecule: transfer RNA, 89 nt
Filed under: hydrothermal vent metagenome
Description: tRNA-Ser-TGA
Rfam family: tRNA
About the family: Transfer RNA (tRNA) molecules are approximately 80 nucleotides in length. Their secondary structure includes four short double-helical elements and three loops (D, anti-codon, and T loops).
Source: RNAcentral
GGAGGGAUAGCCAAGCGGACGAAGGCAACAGUCUUGAAAACUGUCGAGCCCUAUGGGUUCCGUGGGUUCGAAUCCCACUCCCUCCGCAA